Molecule: long non-coding RNA, 226 nt
Filed under: Mytilus galloprovincialis (Mediterranean mussel)
Lineage: Eukaryota; Metazoa; Mollusca; Bivalvia; Mytilida; Mytilidae
Source: RNAcentral
AAAUACUGUGGAUUCAUUAAUAUUCGUUGGAUACCAAUUUUCGUGGAAUUCGUGGGUACCGAUGAACCACGAAUUUAAAUGUUCAACGAAUAACAUAUUUUCAAUAGCUAUAUAUAGGCUUUGUAUAAAGAGAUAAGCAAAACCACGAAAUCAAAUAUCCACGAAUAUACAAGUUGUCAGCAAUCCACGAAAAUUGGUACCCACGAAAAUAAAUGAAUCCACAGUA